This is a long non-coding RNA of Oncorhynchus keta (chum salmon), 3532 nucleotides long. RefSeq lists it as uncharacterized. Lineage: Eukaryota; Metazoa; Chordata; Actinopteri; Salmoniformes; Salmonidae. The record is from RefSeq and is a predicted model, not a curated record. The transcript is spliced from 2 exons.
GAAUUGCAACCCUCUGCAUGCACAGUGCACUCUUCCAUCACAUAAGGUGAAUGCACCAAUUUGUAAGUCGCUCUGGAUAAGAGCGUCUGCUAAAUGACUUAAAUGUAAAUGUGCAUGCACUCUUCCAUCACAUGUGCAGUGCACUCUUCCAUCACAUGUGCAGUGCACUCUUCCAUCACAUGUGCAGUGCACUCUUCCAUCACAUGUGCAGUGCACUCUUCCAUCACAUGUGCAGCUGAUUCUCAAGAUCUUGCACACUAAUGAGAUGCUAUUGAGCUCACACUUCUACACUGUGAGCCAAGGACAACCUGCUUUCUGGGAAGUUUUGAUUAAUACCUGGGUGGGGUGAAUACAUUUAAUAUGACAUUAUUUUUUGUUAACUAAUAAAUAGUAGCCUACAGCAAAGUGUGUUUAAAUAAUUUCUAACUUGUUAACAAUUUCUGCUAGUUAGUUUAUGCUACCAUGUGGGUUUUAGCUUGCUUGCGCCUGCUAACUGAGGAGUGUUAAUUCACAAAAUAUAUAGCCUCAUAAUUCAGUUUUCAAAGACCCCAAGUAGGCAUAUAAGAUUUAAAAUAUGUGACUUUUUUCAGGAAACUAGACAUGUGUUGUGCGUCACCACUUCACAGGAGAGACAUUUGAACAUAAAAGCUUUUUUUCUUAAUCAAAAUGCUUUUUUGGCAGAAAUGCCUUCUGGAACAUUUGAGCUUUCAUGUGCCUUAAUAGCAAACUUGUAUGCCAUCUGUAAAUACAAAUAAAAAGGUUAAAUUACGAGCCUAGUUGGUUUAGCCACAGAAAAUGACAGCAAACUUCCCGCUAGCUAUGAUUGGCUGAGAUAACGAUUGGGCUGGACAUCCCGAGAGACAUGUUUGGAUUGGUCUGCCAUGUAGCACGCUUCUGGCUAUAAUAUGAGCUGGUCAGUAUGUGCAGGUAAUCCUUUCUAACACUUUCUUGUUUAAAGAUAUCACAUAGUAAAACUGCAUAAGUGUUGCUCUCCACUUUCCAGAUGACCGAUUUUUGAAAUCAGUGGAAUUAGAAUAUGAUAGUUAAGGAGAUGAUUGCAAAUAUGCAGACUGAGUCAGAAACAGAACACACAGAAGGCUGUUGGAAACACCUGUCUCCAGAUUACAUCUUCAAACUAAGGGCCACCAUGUCAUCAGUAAGUCUAGCCAGCUACAUUUAAUUGUCAGAAUGUAAUUUCAAUUUCAAGUUAAAGUGUACUGUUAGCUAGCUAAUGUUACAUGUAUGAUCUGUGUAGUAAUAUUAUUCGUAUCUCAGGGUCAUUUGCAUUUCUAGUUACAGUCUAAUGUUAGCUAGCUAACAUUGAACAUGGUUGGUUAGCUACCUGCAGAUUCAUGCAGGGUAGUAACGUUAUGAGUUGGGAUUAUGGUUCAUUGUUUAGCUAGCUAGCUACAUGUCUAAACAAAAUUCUCCGCUGUGCAAGUAUCCAUUUCAAUAGAAUGUUAUGUCACUGCGACAACUGUCGAUAGCCGUAGCUGGUAAAUUUGCUCUGGCUAUCUACUCCAAUUUCAGAGCACUCUCGUCGGAGUGUGCCAGAGCGCAGAAUAAGUGACACGUUUACGAGCGCGUCACCCGGCAUCAGUAAACGUUGGCAAAAAAAAGCAUAAUUAAAUUGUUGCCAGCAGCAGUUACCAACGCUCUGGGUAACAUAAAAAAACCUCACCGGCUCUGCUAGGGCAAGUAAAAUGGUCAGAGUGAGCGGUUCUCUCAUUUGUGUAUGGAAGUAGCUAGCAAGCUAGUCAACAUUAGCUUGGGUGCUUGUCUGCUGUUAGGUCAAAACGCUCAGAUCAACCCUACUUUUCAGCCAGAGCGUCCAAAACGUUCCGAGGGGGAAACGCUCUGAAUUUACGACUGGUCAAAUUGACAACGUUCUGUGUUAGUGAACACUCCAGAUUAAAUGUACAAACCCACCCGUAGUAUAAACCAGAUUUGAUUUUUCAGCGAUGGGUGGGGCUAAAACUUAAGGGUGUGAACGAUGCUGAACGUGUGUAGACAAAGAACUCUCCUGUGGAUACCAAAAUAUUAAAGGGCCAUUUCCUCAAACUGGCAUGCUGCUUUAAUACCAACUUGUUUCAAGCAGACCACCAUAGUCCCCGUGCCCAAUAAUGCCAAAGUAACCUGCCUAAAUGACUAUCGCACGGUAGCACUCACAUCUAUAGCCAUGAAAUGCUUUGAAAGGCUGGUCAUGGUUCAUAUCAGCACCAUCAUCCCAGACACCCUGGACCCACUCCAAUUAGCAUACCGCCCAAACAGAUCCACAGAUGACGCAAUCUCUAUUGCACUCCACAAUGCCCUCACCCACAUUGACAAAAGGAAUAAUUAUGUAAGAAUGCUGUUCAUUGACAGCUUAGCAUUCAACACCAUAGUCUCCUCCAAGCUCAUCACCAAGCUCAGGACCCUGGAACUGAACAGCCCCCUCUGCAACUGGAUCCUGGACUUCAGGCAGUGAGGGCAGGUAAUCAUCCAUCACACUGACCAUCGCCAUGGGGGCCCCUCAGGGGUGUGUACUCAGUCCUCUCCUGUACAUCCUGUUCACCCACAAUUGCGUUUACGCGCAUGGCUCCAUGACGUGUUAGGACUGAUCACCAAAGCCGAUGAGGCAGCCUAUAGGGAGGAGCUCCGAGACCUGGCAGUGUGGUGCCAGGACAACAACCUCUCCAUCAACUUCAGCAAAACAAAGGAGCUGAUCGUGGACUACAGAGGGCCCAAAACAUGGUCAAAUACUCCAUCCACCCAAGCCAUAGACUGUUCUCUCUGCUACUGCAAGUGGUACCAGUGGACAAGUCUGGAACCAACAGGACCGUGAACAGCUUCUACCCAUAAGCUACUAAACAAGACGUCUAAAUAACUAAUCAAAUAGCUACCCUGGACUACAUAUAUUGACCCUUUUUUGAUCUACCUCUCUUACACGGACUCUGGGCACACACACUGGACUCUACACUCACACAUACUUACACUGACACCCCAACACACACACACACACUACAUAUGCUCACACCACACACACACUCUCACAACAUACGCUGCUGCUACUGCUCAGUCUUAUCUAUCCAGUUGCCAAGUCACGAAGCAUGUGACAAUUUUAUUUUAUUUUAUCGUCAAAUGUCCGAGGUGCAAUCUACUGUUUCACAUGGCACUCUAUCCCCGCUCUUCUAAAGAGAAAGUGACCUAUUUUUUUUAGUUUAGGGAGGCGACAGAGCGCUGUUUAAUCUAGAGCUUAGACAUACAGUAACUAACCCAGGGAAAUACUGGUAACUGGGUUAUUCACCAUCACUUCAUCCCAGUGGAGGCUGCUUGGGGAGGACAGCUCAUAAUAAUGUCUAGAAUGGAGUGUAAUCACUGGAAUGGGGUGGCAGGUAGCCUAGCGGCUAAGAGAGCUGAGCCAGUCAUUGAUAGGUUGCUGUUUGAAUCCCAGAGUCAACUACACUACCAUUCAAAAGUUUAUUUAGAAAUGUCCUUGUUUUUGAAUUGAAACACAUUUUUUGUCCAUUAAAUUGAUCCAAAAUGCAGUGUA